UAUCAUGGCCUCACAGUGACGAGCAUGUUCUGGGGCUUUGUUGGCUUCUUUGUGCCCUAGUUCGUCACUAAGCGGCCUAACUGGGGAGUUAUCAUCACCAUGAUGGUGACCUGUUCAGUUUGCCACUCUCUUUUGGCUGAUUGCAAUUUUGGCCCAAUGCAACCCUCUCUAUAGACCAUGACUGAAAGAUGAAACCACCUGGUAUCUGAAGCAUCAUUGGCCUUGA
Molecule: long non-coding RNA, 226 nt
Filed under: Homo sapiens (human)
Lineage: Eukaryota; Metazoa; Chordata; Mammalia; Primates; Hominidae
Description: non-protein coding lnc-LEAP2-4:1
Source: RNAcentral